Gambusia affinis (western mosquitofish) is the source of this 3280-nucleotide long non-coding RNA. RefSeq lists it as uncharacterized. The record is from RefSeq and is a predicted model, not a curated record. The transcript has 3 exons. NCBI's taxonomy places the organism in Eukaryota, Metazoa, Chordata, Actinopteri, Cyprinodontiformes, Poeciliidae.
ACUCCCAUGGCGUUCCCAGCCUUUGCCGGGCUGGGCCUGCACUGAUUUAUGUGGCAGUCCUGAGUCAUACUCUCAACCUGAAAAGGAUUUGCUCUCCUAUAUUUACAGGGGUAGUCAGGCCGGCUCUCUUGAAAUACAGAAAGCCCUGUCUCCGGGCCUCAGUCCCCAUGGUUUUCUCCCCUUCUCUGCCUCAGUAACAAGGACAUCUGGGACCUUACAAGAAUCAGCCGAGACUCCAGUGUUUUUAUGAUGGAGUCUUUCUGCAGAGGAGAGGUCAGAGUCCAUGCACUCGCUCCUUGCAACCACAUGGCCACGUUGUGGUAUGCAGAUACCCAGACACAGCUCCACUACCACAGUGGCUCAGACCACCUCCGAGGUUUCAUUAUCAUCGCUGGGACUCACUAAUGGCUUGACGGCUUCACUGAGCGGGCAGCUGGAGAGGAGAAUCCAGGGAAGACGGAAAAGAAGAAGAAGCAAAGGGAGGAGAAUAGGGGCACAAGGAAAUGGGGGAUGAGGGGAACAAGUCAUGGAGGACAAAGAGGUUAACAUGAGGGACAAUACGAUGAAGUCCAACUGCUUCCUUGAAAAUCAGCAGAGACUGAAGGAGGAUGAAGCAACAGGGCAAAAGUAAUGUCAAAGAGCCAGUCUGGAAAUCCAACAGAGUGCUCUCUGCAUGGCUGGGUGACCAUGCCUGAAAAAUGUUUCAAGUAUAUAAAUCCACCUCCCAUACAUCCACACCUCCACCUUGUAUGUUUGCAACAGCUAACCUCACAACAUGCAGACGGACCGGGGGAGGGAAUUCAGCUUCACUUUUUCCUUUCCAGACAAAUGACACCCUGACAGUUGGAAAAAUGUUGGGGUCCCUGAACAGAUUUCUCAGUUAUAAAAAUAAAAUGUGUUGGAUUAGACAAAGACAGACAUUUUAUAUUCUACUUUUGAACCCCAAUGAGAGCACUGACAAAUGCCACCCCACCCCCACUCCGUCUGUGCCAUAAUUGUUGUUUUUUUUUUCCUUCUCUCUUUCCAGAAAUGUCAUAUAGUUAAGAGGUGAUAAAUCUAUAUGGCAUAAACAGACACGGAUUUCUCCCAAGUGUAUGUAUAGCAUAUAGGCUGACAGCUUGAGAUGGUGUUUGUCUUUGCAUCAUGCUAAAUUGGCAUGAAUUUAGUUGUUUUUUUUUUUGUUUUUUUUUCUUUACUAAGAGAUUGUGAGCAAAAGAUUAGAAAUUGGGAGGAAUCUUAAAAAUUGUUUAAACUGAAAUGAAAAAACACACGGCUUAAAAAUAAGGUGAAAAUCUUGAAAAUGUAUUGCUUAAUAGCUCAUUCAUGGUGUGCUUAUUGGUGUGUAUGUUUAGUGUGAGCAACACUGAUUGCAUCAUAUGUCAAACGUAUGUUGUAUAAAUGCUAAUGGUGUCAAUUUAAAUAUUAUAAUGCAUAAUUUCCUUCCAUCUGUCAAAACAAACACGUUAAUUGGGAUAAAAUCACCUUAAAGUCUCAAACUUUAUGCAUGCUAAAAGUUAAGCAUGACAGAAAAAAAUAAAAUUAUUGUCAAAUCUGGAAAUUCAAUGCUUUUAUUUUGAAUAUUCAUACUUUUAACCUAUGAAACGGUUCAAUUUAGUCUGGAACACCUCCACAAUAUAACAUGCUCAAUAAAUAAUAAUCAUAACUGUAAAUAUAUCUUAUUUAAAUGUCAGAUAUACCAGAAAAUAAGUAAAGCAACACAAGAAAAUAAGAACCCUAAAAAUAAUCAUAAAAAACAGUUGAACACUCAGUAAAUGACAUCAAUUUAACAGGUAAAAUCCAUCAAAAUACCAGGGAAUAUUUUUACACUGAAUAAACAUGUGACUAUUCAUUUAAAUACUUCAUUAAAUCCUCAAACUUGGUGUAAAGUUCACCAAGAGGUUGAUUUAUUUCACUCCCUCAAACGUUACUUAACUCUGCAAAUUACAUCAUUUCCAUAUGAUUUACAAGCAUUAUAAUGAUUUAGAAGCAUUUUUAAUUUAUAUUUUUAAUUUACUAUUGCUUCUUUACAAGCAAUAUAAAUGCUUGUAAAGAAAAAAAAACUGAACAAAAAAGUAACAUCAAAAGUAUUCUACUGGCAUGUAAAUAUGAUUUGAUAUAUUAAAAAUUAAUGUAGAUUUUGUAAUACUUUUUAUCUAGAAUGAAUUGCCAUUAUACUAACAAAAAAUGGACUAUACUAUAUGUAAUUGUUCCAAAAUAGCAAAAUAUGAGUAAUAUUCAAAAAUACUUUAAGCAUACUCAUGUUUUGUUGGAGUGUGAGGAUAUUUAUGUAUUUAAAACAUUUAUAAAUUUGGUACAAUAUUUUUCAUUCCAACAUAAACUCAGACAUUAUAAUGUUUUUCAGCUUUUUUGUGACUUUAUACUUUAAAUAAAGAAAUACUAUGCUGUCUUUUCUUGUUUUAUCUUCUUUAGAAAAAAACAAUUGCAAAGAAAGUAGAUCAACCUCAAACUACAAAGUCUCAUUGUUGUUGUUCUACGGCAACACCUUUGGGUUAAAAUUGCUCAGCUACCAAUUGAAUAGAUUUUGAACUCAUAAGUGAAACAGCAGCAGGGAGGGAAUGCAAAGCAGAACUUUCCAACACAUUUGACAGGCAUGUGUUUUCCAAACAGUCCAUAAACAUAAAUGUUAGUUUAAUUAAUUUUUCGAAAUUUCCAUUAGGUGUUUUUGUUACUCUACACAAAGAGCUGCAUCAAACUCCUAAGUAACAUGGAGCUAAAACCUAAGGAGCAAGGGCUGAAAUAGGAUGCAGCCAAAGUUAUAUCUGCUUGAUAACAAAUAAAAUUCUAUAUCUGAAAAAAAGUAAGGUGGGAGAGGAAUACUAAAUUCUAUAAAUGCUCAAUAAAUUGAGUAAAACAGUGUUUAGAUGUGAAAACUUGCAUCAAGGCAUUUUAUGUGGAUGUCACAUUGACAUUUAACAUCAACUUUAAGAUUGCUGCAGUGCAGCCACACCCCUGACAAACACAACCCGUCAAUCCAGGGUGGGACUGAAGAUUCACUUGCCAGUGUCCCAGUAUCAGACAGCCCACAAGACAAACAACAUAAAUUAAAGUGACAGUAAACAGGCAUGUUAGGGCUCAAAAUGUUCUGAAUAUCUUGCUUGUCCUAAAAUUGUUGUCAGGUGUCACUUGCAGUCAUUUUAGUAAGUGGGUUUAGGUGCAGACAGGCAUGAAGGCAUGUUUUGUUUUGUUUUGGGGUGUUUGUGUCAGAGGUAAUGUGAUGACACAUGAUGCUGAAUUUUAAACCUGCUAUAAAUAAAUGUGU